This 582-nucleotide ribosomal RNA is filed under the name Salmonella enterica subsp. enterica serovar Kentucky. RNAcentral describes it as "partial 23S ribosomal RNA". It matches the Rfam family "Bacterial large subunit ribosomal RNA", at positions 593 to 1175 of the family's 2925-position model. The record is from RNAcentral. Lineage: Bacteria; Pseudomonadati; Pseudomonadota; Gammaproteobacteria; Enterobacterales; Enterobacteriaceae.
GUGACUGCGUACCUUUUGUAUAAUGGGUCAGCGACUUAUAUUCUGUAGCAAGGUUAACCGAAUAGGGGAGCCGGAGGGAAACCGAGUCUUAAUUGGGCGUUAAGUUGCAGGGUAUAGACCCGAAACCCGGUGAUCUAGCCAUGGGCAGGUUGAAGGUUGGGUAACACUAACUGGAGGACCGAACCGACUAAUGUUGAAAAAUUAGCGGAUGACCUGUGGCUGGGGGUGAAAGGCCAAUCAAACCGGGAGAUAGCUGGUUCUCCCCGAAAGCUAUUUAGGUAGCGCCUCGUGAAUUCAUCUCCGGGGGUAGAGCACUGUUUCGGCUAGGGGGCCAUCCCGGCUUACCAACCCGAUGCAAACUGCGAAUACCGGAGAAUGUUAUCACGGGAGACACACGGCGGGUGCUAACGUCCGUCGUGAAGAGGGAAACAACCCAGACCGCCAGCUAAGGUCCCAAAGUCAUGGUUAAGUGGGAAACGAUGUGGGAAGGCCCAGACAGCCAGGAUGUUGGCUUAGAAGCAGCCAUCAUUUAAAGAAAGCGUAAUAGCUCACUGGUCGAGUCGGCCUGCGCGGAAGAUGUAA